RNAcentral lists this ribosomal RNA (254 nucleotides) under uncultured Fusobacterium sp. RNAcentral's name for it is "partial 16S ribosomal RNA". It matches the Rfam family "Bacterial small subunit ribosomal RNA", at positions 103 to 355 of the family's 1533-position model. Lineage: Bacteria; Fusobacteriati; Fusobacteriota; Fusobacteriia; Fusobacteriales; Fusobacteriaceae. The record is from RNAcentral.
CGGGUGAGUAACGCGUAAAGAACUUGCCUCAUAGUCUGGGACAACAUUUGGAAACGGAUGCUAAUACCGGAUAUUAUGCUUUCUUCGCAUGGAGGAAGUAUGAAAGCUAUAUGCGCUAUGAGAGAGCUUUGCGUCCCAUUAGCUAGUUGGUGAGGUAAAAGCCUACCAAGGCGAUGAUAGGUAGCCGGCCUGAGAGGGUGGACGGCCACAAGGGGACUGAGAUACGGCCCUUACUCCUACGGGAGGCAGCAGCU